UGGUUGCUGGGUUAGUUCUAUAAAUACAUGAAGACAUUGCUUAAUCUUUCUUUUUGAUUAGUGUGUUGGGUUAAAUGACCCAAGGAAAUGUUCUUUUUUUCUUCUUCUUUUAUUUUUUUUAAUUUUUAAUUUUUGGUAAGGAGGUCGUAAUGGCUAGUUUUUUUGUUGGUUGUUUGUUUGUUUUAUUUUAGCAGUCUUUUUUAAGUAUCUGUAUUUAGAGGAGUAAAUACAACUUCACUAGAUUAAGAUACUGUUUAAAGCACUUACAUAAUAACUGUCUAAAUUGAGGGGUGGGUACCAUUA
RNAcentral lists this long non-coding RNA (303 nucleotides) under Homo sapiens (human). RNAcentral describes it as "HSALNT0135831". The record is from RNAcentral. Lineage: Eukaryota; Metazoa; Chordata; Mammalia; Primates; Hominidae.